RNAcentral lists this long non-coding RNA (429 nucleotides) under Brassica napus (rape). RNAcentral describes it as "long non-coding RNA (BNAP_LNC025538)". The record is from RNAcentral. Lineage: Eukaryota; Viridiplantae; Streptophyta; Magnoliopsida; Brassicales; Brassicaceae.
UGGUGUCGGGAGGCCGUAUUUUAAAUAUUUGAUGCAAAAGGUUGGUCAUUUGUUUAUAGAAAUGUGAAAAUUAUUAUAUUUGUGAUAAAGAGGACAUAGAGACAUACUUAUUAUAGAGAAGUAAUAAUAAGUGUUUAUUUGUGGGGAACCUAAACUUUGGGAAUAAGUUUUAUUGAUGUAGUACAUAAACGGCAUUGCAUUUUGAAGUAUAAUUAUGAGACAUGAAAAUGAUUGAUCAUGUAUCAAAGAAGUAGAUGAACCUAGUCUUUUACUUAUAGAAAUAACAGUUGGCGCAUUUUUUGUUAAUGUUGUUUGGAUGACAUAAUGUUGUAGCCUUUGUUGCUUGUAGUCAUGUUUAGAUCAUAAUUUAAAUCGAGCAAUGUUAAUGCAUAGAUGGAUGGAUUUCUAUUGUUACAGCGCAAUGAUUUC